RNAcentral lists this ribosomal RNA (235 nucleotides) under uncultured bacterium. Its description in RNAcentral is "partial 16S ribosomal RNA". It matches the Rfam family "Bacterial small subunit ribosomal RNA", at positions 99 to 334 of the family's 1533-position model. The record is from RNAcentral.
CGGACGGGUGAGUAACGCGUGGAUAACCUGCCUCACACUGGGGGAUAACAGUUAGAAAUGACUGCUAAUACCGCAUAAGCGCACAGUACCGCAUGGUACAGUGUGAAAAACUCCGGUGGUGUGAGAUGGAUCCGCGUCUGAUUAGCCAGUUGGCGGGGUAACGGCCCACCAAAACGACGAUCAGUAGCCGACCUGAGAGGGUGACCGGCCACAUUGGGACUGAGACACGGCCCAA